This 1218-nucleotide long non-coding RNA is filed under the name Apteryx haastii (Great spotted kiwi). RNAcentral's name for it is "lncRNA (ENSAHAG00000006888.1)". Lineage: Eukaryota; Metazoa; Chordata; Aves; Apterygiformes; Apterygidae. The record is from RNAcentral.
AUGGGUGCCGAGAAGGUCCUAACAUGCCCGGAUGCCUGGGCCCUUUCCCAAUUCAUGGGUGCCGGGAGGGUCCUAACGCACCCGGACUCUUGGGCCCUUUUCUAUUUCAUGGGUGCGGGGAGGGUCCUAAUGCGCCCGGACGCCUGGGCCCUUUCCUAUUUCACGGGUGCCGGGAGGGUCCUAACACACCCAGACGCCUGGGCCCUUUCCCAAUUCAUGGGUGCUGGGUCCUUUCUGGGUUCAUGGGAGCUGGGGAACUGGGGGUGUUAUAAUGCACCCGGAUGCCUGGGCCCUUUCCCAAUUCAUGGGUGCGGGGAGGGGCCUAACACACCCGGAUGCCUGGGCCCUUUCCCAAUUCAUGGGUGUCGGGAGGAUCCUAACGCACCCAGACGCCUGGGCCCUUUCCCCUUUCCUGGGUGUCGGGAGGGUCCUAACGCGCCCGGACGCCUGGGCCCGCCCUGUCACCGCAGGGGUCUCCCCGGAGCAGCUGUGCCACGCGCGGGGCCGCUGCGUGGACGUGGGCAGCACCCACCAGUGCCUGUGCCACGAGGGCUACGCGGGCGCCUACUGCGAGAGCCCCCUGGACCGCUGCCAGCCCGACCCCUGCCAGCACGGCGCCACGUGCCGCAGCUACGUGGGCGGCUACCACUGCGAGGUGAGGGCCCCGGCACCCUUGGGUGCCCAUGGGCCCGUGGGUGCACCCACCACCCUUGGGCCAUCUCCCCGAUGUCCCCUGCUCUGGGUGCCAGGUGGGACGCCGGGUCCCCCCGUGGGGCACCCGCCGCCCCCUUCCCUCCCCGAUGUCCCCCUGCUCCGGGUGCCAGCUGGGACAUGAGGUCCCCACGGGCACUGACCGCCUCAGCCACCCCCUGUGGGACACCCCUGGGUGCCGGUCACCCACGGGUGUCCCCCCGCAGUGUCCCCCGGGCUUCGAGGGUGAGCAGUGCCAGCGGGAGGUGGACGAGUGCCAGUCGCAGCCGUGCCAGAACGGUGGCUCCUGCGUGGACCUCGUGGGCCGCUACGUCUGCUCCUGCCCGCCGGGCACCCUGGGUAGGUGCCACCACCCCGGCGGGGACAGCGCCGAGGGACGCCGGGGUCCCCGCGGCGCUGCCCCCGCCCCCCCCAUGCCAGCGUGCACAGGGACCCCCCCGGGUCCUCACGUCGGGAUGGUGGCAGGUGGCAGCUCUGUGUCCCCGUGUCCCUGUGCCAGGAUGGUGA